GGGGAAGCACCCGAGGUGCCCCUCACUUUCGCCCCUGCAGCUUUCCAAACAAACCAGGGCGGGAUGGGAGUGUCUUCUUGGCUGUGGAACUUGAUCCUCCUACCUUGUCCUGAAGCCACCCGCCGCUUUCCCCCGGCCCCCUUCGCGGUGAUUUUCCUGUCCGGGACGCCCGGAGAGGGCGCGCGGCUGGUGUCCGCCAGCCGGAAAGGUGGGCCAGCCAUGAGAGGGUACCUUGUGGCCAUCUUCCUGAGUGCUGUCUUCCUCUAUUAUGUGCUGCAUUGUAUAUUGUGGGGAACAAAUGCCUAUGGGGUGCCACCUGUGGAAAUGAAGAAGAGAAAUAAGAUCCAGCCUUGUUUAUCAAAGCCAGCUUUUGCCUCUCUCCUGAGGUUUCAUCAGUUUCACCCUUUUCUGUGUGCAGCUGAUUUUAAAAAUACUGCUUCCUUCUAUGGUAGCGAUAAGUUUGAUUUGCCCUAUGGGAUAAGAACAUCAGCCGAAUACUUUCGACUUGCUCUUUCAAAACUGCAGAGUUGUGAUCUCUUUGAUGAGUUUGACAAUGUGCCAUGUAAAAAAUGUGUGGUGGUUGGUAAUGGUGGAGUUUUGAAGAAUAAGACGUUAGGAGAAAAAAUUGACUCCUAUGAUGUAAUAAUAAGAAUGAAUAAUGGUCCUAUUUUAGGACAUGAAGAGGAAGUUGGGAGAAAGACUACCUUCCGACUUUUUUAUCCAGAAUCUGUUUUUUCAGAUCCCAAUCACAAUGAUCCUAACACUACGGUGAUUCUCACUGCUUUUAAGCCGCUUGAUUUAAAGUGGCUGUGGGAAUUGUUGACAGGUGGCAAAAUAAACACUAAUGGUUUUUGGAAGAAACCAGCAUUAAAUCUGAUCUAUAAACCGUAUCAAAUCAGAAUAUUAGAUCCUUUCAUUAUCAGAACAGCAGCUUAUGAACUGCUUCAUUUCCCAAAAGUGUUUCCCAAAAAUCAGAAACCCAAACACCCAACAACAGGAAUUAUUGCCAUUACGUUGGCAUUUCACAUAUGUCAUGAAGUUCACCUUGCUGGUUUUAAGUACAACUUUUCUGACCUCAAGAGUCCUUUGCACUACUUUGGGAAUGCCACCAUGUCUUUGAUGAAUAAGAAUGCGUAUCACAAUGUGACUGCAGAGCAGCUCUUUUUGAAGGACAUUAUAGAAAAAAACUUUGUAAUCGACUUGACGCAAGAUUGACCCUACAGACUCCGAAGAUGAUGCGAACAGUAUUAGUUUUAUUUUUACACUGCAAUUUUUAGUUUAUUUUUAAAUAUGUUGUUGGAUGUACUUGUCAAGAAAUUAUAGUAAGUCUAUUGCUGCCUGGUGCUUCAUAACCACCAGCUUAAUUUCUGUGAAUAUAUUUAAUUUAUGGAAACCAAGACAUGCUAAGCUAUCAGGGAGAGUGAAUUUUUCAUUGCAUUGUUUUAAAAAUAAGCUAGUUUUCUGAAGUGUUUUUAAGCAUCUUUUUAUAGUUACUUCAUCUUAGACUUUUGAAGGGAUGUGACUUCCUAAUAAGUAAGGGGAUUUAGUUUACCACAGCAGAUUUUGAAUGUAACGUGACAUUCUGAGAGGUUUAUCUGCCUCCUGUAAAUUGGUGGGGAGCUGGCAUGCAGCGGUGCCUUGAAUGUGGCAUACUGGAACCACCUCAGGCCUCUGUAGCUCUCUCUGGAUGAUUGUUUGGUUCCUUUUUGUUCUACCUGAGGAACCUGGCUGGAAUCUUAAACCAGACCCUAAGCAUGGAUGAUUAGGGAAACCUAAGAUCAUACUGGCUUAAUUAAGCAUUCUUUUCCUACAGUUAAGUUAAACCAUGAUUAUGAUGAGUAGUUUGGUAGAAUGAAGAUGUUCUUUAAGUCGAAAGAAAUAGGAUAAAUAUGAAACUCUGGAUAAGUAAAUAACCAAAGAAAGAAUGCAAUUCCUAAAAUCUGGUGACUGCAUUAUUUUAAAGAAAUACAGUUUAUACAAAGAAGCUGAACUAGGCAAGCUCAAGAAGGAGAAAAUUCUUAAAACAUUUUUUGCCUGGUUUAAUUUAUUCAUUAAAAUUUCAAAGUUUAUUGGAAGUAAAUUAGGAAAGACAUGAAUGAGUAAACCUUUAAGAAGAGUCAAGCUUUUUCUGGAUUUAAAUGUCAUUUUCAUGAAAAACCAAUUGUCCACAUGAUUAAAUCGCAUCUUCAAAUGGAAAGCUUACCUAGGGUGCACCAGAGAAGACUGUUGUGGGAUGCAAACAAGCCAGUUGGACAAAAGUCGUGAGCUAGUCGUCUCCCUUUUCAUUUUAAUGUCUGACUAUAACCAAAGGCUAUGGGGAAGGAGGGGGACAAGGGGUGAAGAGAAGAGAACAGUGGAGGUUAUAAGGCUGGAAUCAAGAGCUGUCAGAAGAGGUAGGAGUGGAAAGAACUGGCAUCUCUUGAACAAUAAUUAUCACUGGGAGACAAUGAUAAUUAUCACUAACUAGCCUGCAUCUCUAAAGAGAGUGUAUAAAUACUAUUAGAUCAGAAACAGAAAUAAGUGACUGACAUACUUGAAAGUGGUGUAAGGGGGACAAAACUAGUAGCUGAAUUAACCCAGACCUAGGCAAUAAAUAUGGACUCUGUUCUGUUAAUCCCAGCAUAUGUUUGCACCAUACCAGUCUCGUUUGAUUUUUCUUCUUUGAGGUGGAAAAGGCACUGCUGUUCAAUGUGAUCGUUCCCUCAUACCACACAGCCAUAGGCUGCAGCUGGGCUGCUGAAGCUGAGUUUGAUGUAAAGUAAUUUGGGCUUCAGAAAGGAUGGUGCUGGCUACAGAAAAAGUCAAUGUCAAAAACCAACGGUAGGCACUUCCCUGGUGGUGCAGUGCCUAAGAAUCUGCCUGCCAAUGCAGGCAACACGGGUUCGAGCCCUGGUCCGGGAAGGAUCCCACAAGACGCGGAGCAACUAGGCCCAUGUGCCACAACUACUGAGCCUGCGCGCCACAACUACUGAAGCCCACAUGCCUAGAGUCCAUGCUCUGCAACGAGAAGCCACCGCAAUUAGAAGCCCACGCACCGUAUCCAAGGCUAGCCCCUGCUCGCUGCAACUAGAGAAAAGCCCCCGCGCAGCAACGAAGACCUAACGCAGCCAAAAAUAAAUAAAUGAAUUUAUAAAAACAACAACAACAAAAAACCAAACCCCCAAAACCCCCCAAUGGUGGCAUUUUCAAAUGUUACUGUAAGUACUAUAAUAUUGGCCAUAAAAACCUGAUCUUAAAAUUGAGGGAUCUGGCAUUUUGCAUGGUAUGAGAAAGGUUACAAACCUCAAGGUUGUUUUAUUUAAGCAAAAAACAAAAAACCUGAACAAGACACAUAUACAAUUUAUUAAAAACACGUGAACACAUUAAAAUCUCACUAUUUAUACAGUCUAAAUUCUAGCAACAUAUACAAAUACUGAGUGACUACAGUACAUGCCGAGGUAAGAAAAGUACAUUCUGGGAGAAUAUCACUGACACUCAAGCCAUUUUUAUUUCCAAUACGUAUUUCAAUACAUGUUUUGUUUCUACCUUUCCCAGUGCCAAAAAAGAAGAGGAGGAGAUGAGAAGAAACUAGUCACAAGUUGGAUUAAAUGAGAACUGGUGCCACAAUUGACCUAAAAGUAUCCAACUUUUCCUUAGAUUUUGCAGUUUAGGGACUUCAAGUUCAGAACUGAAAGGCAGAGCCAGUAGUCAUUCCAGUGGUGAGACUGGGAAGUGGGAGACCGGCCCACAGAAGGCCUCUGGUGUCACCUGCAGCAACCUGCCACCUGCCACAGAGAGUAGGAAUUCGGAAGAUGACAACUCAUGGCAGAGAUAGCAGACUUCACUGACUCGUAAAACGCUGAACUCCACUGCGUCCUUUGCCGCUGAGAAGUUUAAAGUGUCACACACCCUUAACUGCAUAGACCUGAUUCCUCUACCAUGUGCAAGAUAAGCCAACGCUGUCACUAACAGUGAGGGGACCGAGGGCCACGUGUGCAACGAAGAACGUUCUCCCCCAGCCUGCUCCUCAGAAUUCUGACACAUCCUCCCCUGGAGAAACUUCUGUCCCUCCCCAACAUUAAGAAUUGCUAUCUACCGUAAGCCUUUUAAAAAGAAAAAAAUCAAGCACACAAAAGGACAUUUUCUGAUGUACAGCUAAUUAAAAUAAUGCGCUGCAAGCUAAAGAGAAAGUUUUUCUAGUGUUGUCAACGAGGAAAAGAGGGUUAUGUGACUUGCUGAAGAUCACAAGUGGGGCUUUCUCAAAGAGCCCAAGCUAUGUGUUUUUCCUGCUUCGAAACAUUCUUCUCUAGUAUAAGACUAUGUUUUUAUUAUUGAUACUAAAAGCUCCCUCAUUUUAAAGUCUGGCUGUAUUUAAAAUAUAAUACUUCAUUAUUUCAAAGUAAGGUAUAGCGUAAAAUUUGUGGACGAGAUGGUAGGUGCUGAAGCUGUCCAAGGGUUGUACUAUAAAGGAUUUCAUAUUCUUGAUCUCCAGUGACAAAGCUGCAGGUGAUUUAUUCGUUACAUGUAAAGUACUUAGAACAGUGCCCUGCAUAGGUUAGGGAUUCAGUAACUUGCAGCUGUUUUUAUUAUUACUUUUCUCCUGGCUAUUUUCCAUAAGCCCCUUAAUGGCGCUUCCUCUUUACUCCUUGUCACAAAGCCAGUCGUCAGCAAUUUCAUCCACUACGUUUGUAGAAGUAACCUCAAUUCUGCGGCUCAGACCUUUUGUCCUGAACAGGCUCAUGUUCCAUCUUGCCUCUUGGGAGUCUGAAUGUCCAGAGUCCUUUAAACGUCAUCCCACACUGAUCUCAGGACUUGCCUCCUGCCUCUCAACAGCUCUACUCCCCUGUCCUCACGCCCACGCCCUGGGGCUUUAACCGCAGAGUAGUUAGACUUGAACUGCCGAUUGAUCAGAGGCUGCAGCGGCUAACAGCACGGGCUCUGAAGCCUGGACCAAAUCUCCACCCUGCCAUGUGCUGACCAGGUGACCUGGGACAAGUUACCUGUGCUCUCUCAGUCUCACUUUCCUCUUCUAUAAAAUGGGAUUUAUAACAACACCUGCUUCACAGGUUGUUUUAAGGAUUAAAUGAGUUAAAACACGUAAGGCAUUUAGAAAAACGUGUAAAACCAGCAUUUCGUUUUAUUUUCUAUGCAACUGCCGUUGCUACUGUUCUCACCACUACCACUGUUGCUGUCCGGUUCCCUGAAAGCAUCGUGAACUUUCCUUCCUGGACUCUCCCAGAGCCCUGUUCCCUCCUCCCCCGCCUCAUGCCCUCAUGCUAAGUUGUCAGUUCUGUACAGACAGCCCCCCAACACCAGGAAUCCGGGACCCACGCCUCCUCCAGCUUCCUUCCACCCGUGGAACAAACUGUGGUUGGUACGGUUAUGAUUCCUACUCAUCUUGGGUGAAACUUAGAGGAUUUAAGCUAUUUAAGACAUGUUACGUAGUUCAAAAUGGAGUCCCAGUGGCCAACACGAACUUGCCUAUGAGUUGUUUUGAAACAUCCACUGUAGGACUGCCAGUGUCCUCGAAUGAUAAACUGAGAAUAUUACUUUAGACAAGAAGUUUGAUGGGCCAUGUAUGGCACGGGAACAGACAGCAACUGAAAGAGUCCAGACUCUUCCCCUGGGGUAACAGUUAUUCCUUAAGAGGAGACCAUUGAACAGAGUGACCUGAAGGAUCUUGGCUGGAGGCCCCCAUGCUGCUGAGAGCUGUUCCAGAUGGAGGCCGCCUGCGGCCCUGCUGGAGCCGGGGUGGUUUCCCACUCUCACUUGUCAUGUGCUGCUGUUGGUGCUGAGAUGCCUCCUUCAAGGCUUCUCCUUGGAGUGGUUCGUUUACACCCUCCUCCCCUGCCCACCCCCCCCCACACUUUGCCUAACCUGUGUUGUGCGCUAAUUAUGUAUAGUAAACCGAGUGAGUCGUGAGUUGAAUAUUGGCUACUGUUUUAUCUCCAAUCCCGUGAUCCCUACCUGCCCUUACUGCUGGGCCCUGCAACAAACAGGUUCCACGGUGGAAGGUUUUCUGCAGAGUAUCCUCUCCCAUCCAUAGACUCUGGGGUUCACCACUGGACUCCCAGCACACGGCUCAAUACUUGGCAGGGAGUAGGAGGCUCAAAUAUCUGUUGGAUGGCUAGACAAAUGAAGUCCCUCCAAAGCUGUCAGUCACCAAUCUGUCCCUCCUACCCUGUUACCUCUACUCACGCCAUCUCUACCGGUCAACUGCACAAGCCAGAAACGUGAGAGAAACUUAGAUCCUCCUCCUUCCUUAGCAAGUGGCCAGUCAAGCCCUGCACUGACGCCUCUGGGAACCCUCUCCCCCUCCAAGUCUCUCCCUUUCCUAGAAUUGCUGUAUCAUGUUCCUGUGUGGCCUUAAAAGUUUCCUAACUCAUCUCUCUGCCUCUUCUAGUCUCUCUCUCCUCUUCAAUCCACCCUCCUGCCACCAUUUUUCUACAAUCAUCUGAUAAUAUCACCUGUCCGCUGAACCCUGCUCAAGGAUUUCCCCAUCUACAGAAAGUCCUUCCUGGUCCCAGGUCCAGGCUGCAUUUCUAUGGGUCUCCUAGCGCUCCCGCACGCCAAGCCCCUGUGGGAUGACUCACUGUUCUGCCUACAUUCCACAACUCUGUGCCUUCCUGCAAGCCAUCCCAUCCAUCUGGGCCAUUCUCUCUUCCUCUAUCUCGCCAAAUGUAAUCCCUCCUUUAAGGCAAACCAUGCCAAAUUUGAGGAACACUCUUUUCUGAAAAAAAGGUUUCAGGUAAUUCUCAUGGUUCUUACGUCUGUGUUCCCCAGCACUUCAUAUACAACUCAUCAUGCCAAAGUAUAGUGGUCAACCCUGCUAAAC
Molecule: non-coding RNA, 6814 nt
Organism: Globicephala melas (long-finned pilot whale)
Lineage: Eukaryota; Metazoa; Chordata; Mammalia; Artiodactyla; Delphinidae
Source: RefSeq, a predicted model, not a curated record